Molecule: long non-coding RNA, 1036 nt
Organism: Canis lupus familiaris (dog)
Lineage: Eukaryota; Metazoa; Chordata; Mammalia; Carnivora; Canidae
Exons: 3
Source: RefSeq, a predicted model, not a curated record
UUCUGGAAAACCACUUCCUUUGUGGGUAAGAGAGGUUUGUAUAAACACAUUCACUGCAGGACCAGCGUACCAGCGGACAAACCCAAAGCAAUCGAAGUGUCCACCGGCAGCGGCAGGCCCCACAGACGAGGCUGUGCUAUACCUGCCGCAAUCUGGAAAGCUCUCAAGCAAAGUGGAAUGAAGUUAAAAAGAAAAAAGGCUAAACAAUAUGCAGGAAACGAACCCAUUUGUAUAAAAAUAUGGACAAAACCUAAACUAUGCUUCUUUGUCCACAUAACUUGUACACAGACUGCAGAGAACAAAUUCUGGAAGGACACCUCCCAAGCUCCUGACGGGGUUAGUAGGAUCCACGGGUCUUGCUUUUCACUCUCUAACUUCCAACUUCCUGCAACCAGUGCAUUUUCCCAAGAGGGGGUGUUUUUGUGUCAUGUCAUUAAAACACAGACAAGUGAAUAAAUAUAUGGAGACAGAAAACAAAACAAAACAAAACAAAAACAAAAACGGAGGGAGUGGAAGAGGAAGGAAAAACAGAGGAAGGGAAGACGGCGAGGCAAGCUGCUGAAUUCCAGAGCUCGAUGACGUUUCCACAGGCCAAGGGACAGGGGUGGGACACACAACAUUCUGGCUCAACUGGCAAAGGCCUUUCAUUCCAAAAAGAAAACUAUGUCAGCGUUAAAGAAAUGGGGCUCGGGAUGCGGCCAGGUCCCCAUCAGCAGGAUGACAGAGGCUUUCAUCAGGGCUGACAGGGCCUGCGACGCAGGGAGGGAGGAGCUGCCAAGGCAGGGAGGCGGCUGCACACCGGGCACUGGAAUGUUCCCCGCUCACCUGCACAAGCCCCUGUCUGCUGUGAGUCAAGGUCAGCUCUUCCACAUCCUGCUGGGAGCACGGCGGGGACUCAACUGGGGACACGGGUGUUCACGAGCUAAUAAACCCACGAGGAAAGCUUCUAAUUCAUCUCAGCAUCACAAAGAGCAGGGAGAGAGAGAGAGAGAGAGAGCUCGCGAGCACAAGCAGCAGGAGAAGCAGCCCCCCGCCG